RNAcentral lists this long non-coding RNA (8313 nucleotides) under Mytilus galloprovincialis (Mediterranean mussel). Lineage: Eukaryota; Metazoa; Mollusca; Bivalvia; Mytilida; Mytilidae. The record is from RNAcentral.
UGUUGUGCAAGGAAGUGAUAAUUUUACUGACGGAUUUCCUUUUUCCUUAUACAGGUUCUGAAGUAGCUGGAUGCUGUAUACUGUUAAACUAUUGCAUACCUUUAGAGUGAAAGAUAUACGUAGAAGUUACAAUUAAAGGUAAAUUUGUUUUUAAGAAAUUGAGAUAUGUGGUAUGAUUUUCAAAAUAGAACUUAUUUUAAGUUGAUCACUUAUAAACGCAGACGCUGAUUAUGCAUAAUCUGUUGAUCCAUCUGAUCAUGUCUGAAAAACCAAAACUGAAAUAUUUUUAAUUUGUGGAAAACAAAAUCAAAAUAAUAACUUGAGAAGUUAGGUGAAAUGUGAGCAUUUCCUGCCAUGAAAACAAAUAAUCAUAUGAUAUAAUAUAUGACAAGAAUUUAAUUGAUUGUUUGAUGCACAUAUUGUACUUCAGAUAUUAAAUGCAUGUUUUUUAUUUGAAUAAGAUUAUAUGGUUUUCAUUCUGUUUUAAUACAUUGAACAAGAUUGAAGAAUAUUUAAAAGACAGAUGAAAUUAGAAGAUUAAAGAACAAAGAAAAUAUUUUUUUCAGUCUGGACUUUUACAGAGUUAUCUCCCUUUUUGAACACAGUAGCAAGGUUUGGAAUAAUGAAGAAUAACUAUAGAUUUCUUCUAUACAUAUCCAAGAUUAUUUUAAAAGAAUAGUUCCUUCUGAUGUAAAUAUAAAAUUUUGGGGCACGUAAUUCCAGAAAUUCACCUUUUUGACCCGAAAUUGUAAUUUUCUAACCCAAACAGCAAAAGUUUGAAAAUUUUCACAAUGUUGAACAAAUACCUUACAUUAAACGAUGUCCAUUCAAAGUGUUUUGUACAUAAAACAGCAUUGUAUGCCGAAGAGUAUACAAGUCUGGCUUAUAUUCUUCCAAUUUCUUUUAAAAAAUAUUGUUCCCUCAUUUCAAAUUGGAGUAAAAUCUGAUUUUGACACUGUUUUCAACAAAUGAAAGCGCCAUGUUUACACUUUCAUCUGGGUAAUCAAUAAAGAAAAAUAACUUGUGUUUGCAAUGUUUUUUUUAGAGUUAACAUAAAAGAGGCAUUCCAAUCACGAUAAAUUGGGACUCUUCGUCAGCUUUCUGAAGCGUUGGUGAAAGGGUUAAAAAACCAAAGCUUCAGUAAAAUGUUUUAACAUAAGCAAUUUCGUACUUUCCUGUGGACUUCUAAAACUAGAAUAGAGGUGAAUUCUAUCUAUUGAAAUGAUAUGCAACUUCAGAAGAGAUCAUUAUGUUGAAGUCUGAUUUUGAAAAAGUUCUGUUUCUGAAUAAAGAUACUCGUGGAAGUAUUAGUGCUAAUGUAUAAAAGUGAAAGAAUUUCUUAUCAGUCAAAUUAUGAGAAAGAAAUCCUUUCAUGCAGUUACAAAUUUGUUGUGACAUAAUAUGUCAGAUUAAAGCAUGAUAUUUUGAAAAGAGUUGAUAUCAAGAAAUUAUUAAUUCAUUUAAAAUGAAGGAUCAAAUUUUCCCACAGCCUCUAAUUUCACAAGUUUAAAUAUUUUCAUUGACAAUUUCUAAUUGCCAGUGUUGAUAUGUUGAACAUGUUAUUUUUAUUCCUACCAAAUGUUGUUGGUUUUCUCCACACUAUGGUUUCCUCAGCCAGUAAAAACUAACUACCUUGAUAUGGCCAAUAGUACAAAAAAUUGCAUUAAACUCCAACUAUUUAUCUAUCUAGUAUAUAUAUAUUGAAGAAUUUGAGUAAAAGAUUUUAUAGUACGCUCAAAAUUUUCUUUUGAAGAAUGAGAUUAAGUGUCCAAAUGAAUUUGCAUUCUCUAAAUAGUAAAUUCGUUUUUCUAAAAUUUUAUAUUAAAUAUCACCAACAAUUUUGUAAAACUUAAAGUGAUGUAUCAGAAGAUCUUUAUAAGACCUAAAGUAAAGGUUGUUUACCUUUCUCAGACUGACAAAGUUAUAAUAUCACCUGAAAUAAAAACAAAAUGAGUUUGUCUGUCUUUAUAUGUGAUUAGUUAUUGUGAUCAAGGGCAAACAUGGUUGUCCUGGAUAAAUGAUAAGUAUAGUUGUUUUCUGGUGAGUGAGGUCAUUUAGUAUAGUCUGUGCCUGUAGCUAGUGGUACCAACAAAAAGUCAGAUGUGUUCUCAUUAUACGACUGCAAAGACCUUGAACAAAUCAGUAGCACUACCACAAUUCUAGAGUUUUGAAAAUAAUGUCAAAUAUAUAAAGAUUUCAGAACAAAAGAAUAUGUUUAGCUUGCUUUAUAUUUCUUUGUUUCAUUGAUGACAAACUUGACAAAGGGCUAAAGUAGUUGAAGAAAAGUCUGGGAUUUAGAAAACUGUAAUAAUUUUCAAAUAUUAAUAUUUGUCUAUGAUUUUAAGUAUUUUUUUUUUUUUUUGAAUAUGUAAAGUAUAAAGGACAAGGGUCACUUUUUGUUAUAUUUGCCCAGGAAGACAACACAUGCAUUCUUGUUUGAUUUUUCUAUUCUCAGUAUGAAGUUUGUGUCGUAGGGGAUCUAUACUUGUUGACAUUUUGUCUAUUGGUUUUUGGGGAAUAAAUAGUCUGUUUUGAAAUGAUGCCACAUUUCUUAGUUUUUAGUUUCAAGUGUAAAUUUACUACCAAAAAAAGAAAGUGAGAGCAUGCUUUAAUAUCAUUAAUUCAGGAGGAAGUAUAAUAUCAAUAAAAGAGUAAGUGCAAUAAGGUUAGAACAAGAAACAGAAAGAGGUUGAUCAUUUCUUAUUGGUGCUUUUAGAAUUUACUGUCUAGAAGCAAUUAAGGAUGUUUGCUUCUCUGGAUUUCUACUUUUUGUCAGAUAUUCUGAGACCUCUAGUUUUACCUGUACUUUUUUUACUAAAAUUUUAUAACAUAUAGUUCAAAAAUCUUAUAAACAAAAUUUCUUAGCUUUUGAAAGAAACGUGCAGAUGUUAAAUGUAUGAUCAAUUGUUUAUGUCUCAAAAACAAGGACAAAGACCUUUCAUUUUUUCUCCUUUUUUUUUUGAAGUUCUGUUAUUUAUAUACUAUUAAUUUAUUGCAGUCUUUUAAGUAGCUUAUUUUUUUUAGACAGAGGAGUAAACAUCAUUAAAACUCAUUGCUAAGUUUUUAAUUAGAAUUGUUGCCUGUUGCACUUUAAAUUAAUGUCGUAGGUAAUAAAAGGUGCUCUGUAAAGAAAUGUUAAUGUUUAUUUCACAAACAGAUCUGAUUUCAAGUUAAAAUAUAACUCUAUUAUUCUAAGUCAAUUUAAUCAAAUAACUUUUACAUAUAGAUUAACCUUUAGAACAGUGAAAAAUUGUUAUUUUUUUUCUUAAUGAUUCAUUUUCUUUAAAAUACCAAAUAAGGUUGAAAGGAGUGUUAUCAUUAUAAAUAAACUCUUGUUUAUUUUAACUCUGAUAAGUAUUUUUUUUCUAAAAUCAUAUGAUAAUGACUUUCAAUUUAAAAGACAGAAACUUUAUUCUUAAGUUGGGUGUUAAUUUUAUGUUACUCAUGGUUUCAUCUCCCAAGUUGGUAAGACAUAUAUUUCAUGUUUUAAAACAAUUUUUUAUGUUGGUCUUCCAAAAUUGCAUGUUUUGUGUGAUAUUCACUUUUGCUGAACUAGAAUACAUUGUUUAAGGGGCCAGCUGAAGAUAGAUUUGUGGCUUUUGCCUGCUUUCUGUUCUUCUGUGUGUUGUUGUCUCUUUGACACAUCCCCCUUUGCAUUCUCACUUUUAAUUCCAUUUUUUUUUUAAAAUCUUUUGUUAAUUAUAAGCAAGUAUAACCUUGUCCAAAUAUCUGUUCUUUUUGUCAGAAUUUGUAGCCCAUUUUAUGUCAAGGGACAGUUGACUUUGCUCUCAUAUAUGCUUUACAUGGCUUUAACUGAAUUGGUUUUGAAAUGAAAGGAAAUUUCUAUAGAUAAUAUUCACAGUUGAUAAAACAAAUGUUAUUGAAACUAAAUGUUCAUCCCUCAUGUAUUGACUUGUUUUCUACAAAAUUGCUUUGUUGUCAUUUUGAUGAGGUACAAUAAUCCUGUGGUCACUACAUUAAUUUUUGCCCAGCCUGCAUCUAAAUUUGAGGUGUUUAAUUUUUUUUCAAAAGUGACAUCUUUGUUAACAAUCUGUAAAUGAAAUAUAUUUUCCCUGAUUUUAACAUAAGAUGACUAAGAUUUGUAUGGUUAAAGGUCAUGGUCAAGGUCGUUGCCCCAGUGUUCAAGUUCUGUUUUUGGAUUGCCUUUUCUUAGUAACUAUACAUUAGAGGUUAACAAUGUUAUAGAUAUAGAUUUGUUCCGAUGAGUUUUAAGUUCAUCUGACAUUGUUAUAUAUCCUUGACUCCUUUUCCCUCUUCCGUAUUCCUUAUAAUAUCUUCGUUAAAUCUGAAUAACUUUAACUCUACUUUCUGCUAUAUAGAUGACGUUCUUUCACUAAACAAUUCAAAAUUUGGUGACUAUGUGGAACGCAUCUAUCCCAUCGAAUUGGAGAUAGAAGGAUACUACAGAUACAGUUAAGUCGGCUUCAUAUCUUGACUUACAUCUAGAAAUUGACAAUGAGGGUCGGUUGAAAACAAAACUUUACGACAAAAGAGAUGAUUUCAGCUUCCCAAUUGUGAACUUUCCAUUUCUAAGUAGCAACAUUCCAACAGCACCUGCAUACGGGGUAUAUAUCUCCCAAUUGAUACGAUAUUCCCGUGCUUGCAUUUCCUAUCAUGAUUUUCUUGAUAGAGGGUUACUGCUCACAAGGAAGCUAUUAAACCAAGAGUUCCAAAUGGUGAAGUUGAAAUCAUCCCUUUGUAAAUUUUACGGACGCCAUCACGAGUUGGUUGACCGUUAUGGAAUAACCGUUUCACAAAUGAUAUCGGAUAUGUUUCUUACGUCGUAACUACAAUCCCCUUCCCUUUCAUGAAUGUGACCUACCGAAUUAGACUAUUUACCGGAUUUGUAAUCACAUAAGCAACACGACGGGUGCCACAUGUGGAGCAGGAUCUGCUUACCCUUCCGGAGCACCUGAGAUCACCCCUAGUUUUUGGUGGGGUUCGUGUUGUUUAUUCUUUAGUUUUCUAUGUUGUGUCAUGUGUACUAUUGUUUUUCUGUUUGUCUUUUUCAUUUUUAGCCAUGGCGUUGUCAGUUUGUUUUAGAUUUAUGAGUUUGACUGUCCCUUUGGUAUCUUUCGUCCCUCUUUUAUAAUUGUGUAUAACUGUAUAUAGAUUUUUUUGCAUUGGUUUAAGAGUUACUUAGAAUGACUUCAUGUUUAAGUUUGAACAUUUCCUGUUGUUAUAAAUUUAGACUCAAGUAUUUGUACAUGUAGUUUGAUUUAAGACGUAUAUAAGUAAAGAUUACGUCAGGGCUAUUAUUCUGUUUGAAGUAUUUUUUACAUUAUGAUAAAUUAUUAUCUUGACAUUGGAAACUGAAAGAGUUGAUGAUUUUCUGUUCUUUAUUUGUCAGGUUUUGUUAAUUAAACAGUAAAAGGGGCUUGUGAUAGAUCCACAUUUACUUCAACAAUUACACAACAAAGAAGACAUGUGAUAGAUCGUAAUUUUCUUCAACAAUUACACAACAAAGAUUCAAACACAUCAUAUUACUAAGAGUCCUCACGUAUAGGCUAUUUUCUAGUGGCAGUCAUGAUUGCUAAUGAGACAACUAUCAAUUAUGAACAGAAAACGAAGCUGUGAACAAUUACAGGUCACACGUAAAACCUUUAACAAUGAGAAAUACCUAUACCGUAAAAAGUUGCACUUCUGUAAAUAUAGACAUGGCAAUUUGCCAAAGUAACUCCUCUUACAGCUAAAACUGCAACUUUUAUUAUCAAGUUUCAAAAAAAAAUUAUAUUCCAGAUGGAAAGUUCCUUUAUACUACUCUUUUUUCAAAGGUCAAAAUAAAUUAGGGCUGUGCGGCAUAUUUUCAACAUUUACAUGCCCUGAACUUCCAAGAGAUUAAAGAAAUUCUGUACUACCCCUCCCUUGACUUUGGGUCUUCUUCAGAACUCAAUUUAGCCACUAUCUAUGUGUAUUUAUACUGGUACCUUUCCCCUGUUAUGUCCUUAUGAGUUGAAACAGACAUCAUAUCUGGGAACCAGUGUGUAAACAAAAGAAAAUAUCUUUGAAUAUUAUAUAUCUCCCCAAAAAAAGUGUGGUUUGUAAAACAAUUGAAAAGAGAAAACCAAUAGCCUGAUAUAUACUGCAACAAAAGACAAAUAACAAAAAUGACAACAACCUACAACAUUAAUUGGAUUUCAGGCUUGCGACAGGCACUUAAAGAAUGUGGUAGGAUUAGAUGUGGUACGAAUGCCCAACUAGUGAAUAUAAGUCUCCUUCCUUCUCACCAUCCCCCUUAACCUGGGACAGGGGUAUGACAACACUAUAUAUUGAUAAUAAUUUACUACUGUAAGAUUUAUAACUUAUAUUGGAAGAAAACAGAUUUUUGGCACUAAAGUAAAAAAGAAUUUUAAGAUUAUUUCUCUUUAGAUUUACCAUAUUUUGCCAUUGUUCCUAUGAAAUCUAUUGUAAAAGCAAAAUAGUUGCAUAUUUUAUUGUCAGCUAUUUUUUUCCAUUAAUGUUUUAAUUUAAUUUGUUCAUAAAUUCUGCAUUUGUACAUUUUGUUGACAUAGUAUUUAUUUUUUCUUAGAACAAAUUAUGGUAUUGACCAGUGGCUAAAGAAUUGUUAAAAAUACUCAGUUUCUGCAUGAAGGGUAUUGAAAUUCCAAUAAGAAUCAAUUGAUGGAUAAAACCAUUCUGUAUUAAAAAAAUUCAGUUGGCAGGUGUUUAUAGAAAUUUCAUACAUGUAUUCAAAACAUCAAAAUUAUAUGCAUAUGUGUGAUUACCAUUGUUAAAAAAAAAUACUCUUGACUCCAGACAACACUUUAAAUUUUCUUUGACUCAUUUAAAACUGAAAAAGAACUUUUGUACAUUGAGGCAGGAUUCCAUACAUUAGUCCUAUAUUUUCCUUGGUUUCUGAAACAUUAAAAUUUUUUGUAACUUUGUUUAGGCCUAAAAAAAAAAUGUGUGUUUCCGGUAACAUCAUUUUAAAAAAUAGGGUCGGUAGGUCAGUAUUCUUUUUUUUUUUUUACAUUUUUUAUUUUGACAUUGUAGCGAAAUCUGGAAAUUUAUCAUAAUUUUUCCAAGUCCGGGUCCAUAAUUAGUUUCAAAUACCGAAGGUGCAGCCAUUUGCAAUGUUUUUGAAGCACCUGCUGUGCAAAUUUCUUGAAUUUAACCUAUUUGGAAUACCUUUUGACAUUAAUAAAAUGUUUUACUGGCUUUCUGUGCCAGUAGAAGCAAGUUAGAUAAAUUAUUAUGUCGAAUAACAGAAGCCUGUGUCAAAAACAGGGACUGUUGAUACCAUUUUUUUUUUGGAGAUCCAAUAAAAAAAUUAGGGUCAGGCUAAAAAACAGGGUCGGUCGGGUUACCGGAAACUCAGAUUUUUUUCUUUCUCUGCCUUAUAACAUUUACGAUUUUCAUUUUAAUCUUGAUGGUAAAUACUUUUAGUUUUAAUUAAUAUUAAUUUGAAUGCAGAAAUCACAACAAAGUUAUUUUAGACAAAUAUGACAUUUAAAGUUUGACAGCGAAAUCACUAUUUUAAUUCAAAUUUGUUUUGAAUCCAAUUUACAAACAAUUAGAAAUGAAUUAUAGAUAAAGUAAUAUUCCAUUUAUAAAUCUUUUGAAAUACAUUUAAAUAGGGUACAAAUGUAUAUUCAAAACAUAAAAUCACAAGUGCAGUAAAUUGAUGCAUUGAAUUUCUUUACAUUACAAGUUUUCCCAUAUGCACAAUGCAGUUAAAAAGAUCCUUUAUGGCAAAUUUAUUUGAAGUUAUAUUAAAAUUCAAUAAAGAUUAAAAAAGUAAAUAUACUAUAACUGAAUAUAAAUAUUCUAUUAUAAAUGCACACUUCAAAAUCAGUACUGCAUAUAUUCUAUGCUUGAUGCACAUGUAUUGAUUUCAAAAAUAAGUUUUUUUAUACCUCAUAUGUAGUGAAUGUCCAAUCAGAAUGUAAAUUCUAUUUUUAGCUGGUUGACGUGUUGUCUGGAGAUUGUGUGUUUGCUUUGCCAUGCUUUCACUUGUAGCUGUCUUGCUUUUAAAGUAGCUGGUUGCUGUUUGAAUUUUAUGAAAAACUGUGACUUGAUAGUGUGUGAUAAUUACUGUACAUUUUUGUGGACCUUUUUAUACAGUCAUGGAUAGGUAAGCCUAUAGUUGUUAUUGAUAGAUCAACUUGACCUAGAUUUACGAGCAGACGACUACUGACUGUGUAAUGUUUUGACCAGCAGAUAAAAAGGGCAUUUCAGGUCAUUCUAUUUAAUACCUUUAUUUAUAGACUGACCAUACUGAAGUGAACAAAAAUAGCCAUGGUCAGUAGUUUCACUUUGGUCACACUAUAUCUUUUUAACAAAGAAUUUUCC